Molecule: ribosomal RNA, 435 nt
Filed under: uncultured bacterium
Lineage: Bacteria
Description: bacterial SSU rRNA
Rfam family: Bacterial small subunit ribosomal RNA
Source: RNAcentral
AGCGAACGCUGGCGGCAGGCUUAACACAUGCAAGUCGAACGCCGUAGCAAUACGGAGUGGCAGACGGGUGAGUAACACGUGGGAACAUACCCUUCGGUUCGGAAUAACUCAGGGAAACUUGAGCUAAUACCGGAUACGUCCGCGAGGAGAAAGAUUCAUCGCCGGAGGAUUGGCCCGCGUCUGAUUAGCUUGUUGGUGAGGUAACGGCUCACCAAGGCGACGAUCAGUAGCUGGUCUGAGAGGAUGAUCAGCCACAUUGGGACUGAGACACGGCCCAAACUCCUACGGGAGGCAGCAGUGGGGAAUAUUGGACAAUGGGCGCAAGCCUGAUCCAGCCAUGCCGCGUGAGUGAUGAAGGCCCUAGGGUUGUAAAGCUCUUUUACCCGGGAAGAUAAUGACUGUACCGGGAGAAUAAGCCCCGGCUAACUUCGUGCC